Molecule: ribosomal RNA, 324 nt
Filed under: Staphylococcus aureus
Lineage: Bacteria; Bacillati; Bacillota; Bacilli; Caryophanales; Staphylococcaceae
Description: partial 23S ribosomal RNA
Rfam family: Bacterial large subunit ribosomal RNA
Source: RNAcentral
GUCUUCGAGUCGUUGAUUUCACACUGCCGAGAAAAGCCUCUAGAUAGAAAAUAGGUGCCCGUACCGCAAACCGACACAGGUAGUCAAGAUGAGAAUUCUAAGGUGAGCGAGCGAACUCUCGUUAAGGAACUCGGCAAAAUGACCCCGUAACUUCGGGAGAAGGGGUGCUCUUUAGGGUUAACGCCCAGAAGAGCCGCAGUGAAUAGGCCCAAGCGACUGUUUAUCAAAAACACAGGUCUCUGCUAAACCGUAAGGUGAUGUAUAGGGGCUGACGCCUGCCCGGUGCUGGAAGGUUAAGAGGAGUGGUUAGCUUCUGCGAAGCUA